Molecule: ribosomal RNA, 253 nt
Filed under: uncultured bacterium
Lineage: Bacteria
Description: partial 16S ribosomal RNA
Rfam family: Bacterial small subunit ribosomal RNA
Source: RNAcentral
UACGAAGGGUGCAAGCGUUACUCGGAAUUACUGGGCGUAAAGCGUGCGUAGGCGGUUCGUUAAGUCCGAUGUGAAAGCCCUGGGCUCAACCUGGGAACUGCAUUGGAAACUGGCGGGCUGGAGUGCGGUAGAGGGUGGCGGAAUUCCCGGUGUAGCAGUGAAAUGCGUAGAUAUCGGGAGGAACACCCGUGGCGAAGGCGGCCACCUGGACCAGCACUGACGCUGAGGCACGAAAGCGUGGGGAGCAAACAGG